Non-coding RNA from Osmia lignaria (orchard mason bee), 1356 nucleotides. The record is from RefSeq and is a predicted model, not a curated record. NCBI's taxonomy places the organism in Eukaryota, Metazoa, Arthropoda, Insecta, Hymenoptera, Megachilidae.
GUCUUUUAAGAACUUUCGAAGUGAAACUAUUCCAUUCUCUGGAUUUCCGGCCUUCUCUCAGCUCGAUCACCUACGUCGAGGGGUUUACAAUUUAUUCUUUGUCUAUUUAUAUAAACGUACGCACAGACGAUGUUCGAAUUUCGCUCUUAAUUUAUGACCAUUGAUACAAAGGUCCUCGAAAAACAUUCAAGACAUAUCGAUACAAUAGACUAUCGAUAAAUAUUCCCUAGGCAGUGUCGCCACACCACUCUAAACAUAUUCACGUGAUAACAUUUCACGUUACAAUACAGAACUAUACCGCAGUUCACCAGAGUCCAUCUCACGAUCAGAGCACGCGUUCAAUCACGAGAGCAUUGGCUCUCAACCGCGCUCGAUCGUGAUCGUGAACAAAUGCAUUGGCAGAGCGUGGGUAUCGCGGGAAGCAUACGACAAAUGUUUCAUCAUCUUAUGUGGAAUUAUUCGUUCUUCAUGAAUAAUGAUAACGAAUGCGUUUGUUCACGACUACGACCGAGCGCGGUUGAGAGCCAACACUCGUAGUUGAGCGCUCUCAUUGUCCAGUGUUUUUCGUUAAUAAUUCAAAAACGAAGCUUCAACUAACAUUUUGAUAAAGGAAAAAGUUGUUCCGAAUCCCUCCAGUCUCCAGCAACUCCCCAUUUCCGGAUGUCACGAGAGUUAUGGGACACUGUAUACAGAACCAAUAAAGAAUUAAAAAUGUUUAUCUCUUCACACGUUUCUGUAUUUGAAUACUGACUCAGGACCAGGACAAUAGGAGAUGGGCUACUUGCUGAGCUGUUAGCUAUUCAAAACGCAAGCUUCGGAAGUUGAUAUACCAAUUUUUUUAAAUGCUAUGACGGCAGCCGGGAAUUUAAUAUAGCCUAACCUAACGUCUUCUCAUGAUUAUCAAAUCGCUCUGACAACCUUCGUCAAUCAAGACACUGAAUAUCUGCCACUCAUUAUUCCAAUAAGCGUACAACUUGACGUAUGGUGGACGCCUAAUCCAUUACUCCUUGUUCAACGCUUACACCAGUAAGUAUAUCCUCUGACAUGUGGCGGGCACCUGAUCUACCACUCCUUAUUCAGCAUUUACCCCAGUAAAUUCAUAUCCUAAACAACCCUCAUCACUGAUCCAAAUUAAUCUUCCCACUACUUUAACGAGUCGUGGGAAUGCUUGAGUUCAUGGUGACAAGCAGGACUCUUGGACGAAGCCAUACAACCUUCGUUGACCCGACCGACCAUCAGGAGGAUUCCAUUGUGAACGAGAGCUCAUAACACAAUACUCAAACGGUUAAUGAAAUAUAAGUUAUAUAACUAUAAGGAAUUUAACAUUGAAUUAUAAAUAAAUAUAUACUGAAUAAA